UCAGAUUGAAUAUUUACAAUGGUAUCAAAGAAUCCUAAACAAAUCUAGAUGUUCAAAAUAAGUAGUUAAUCCACGGAAAUCAUGAUACGAAUUUAAACAUGGAUUGAAUCAUCAAUACUAACCUAAACAAUUUUGAACAAAAUCAAACAGGAGAUGUUCAUCAUCUAACCUAAAUCCAUACUACAUAAGUUUAAACAACAUGUACCCAACAAAACAGCUUUUCUAGCCAAGUAGCAAGCUACAUUUCAAAUCCAAACUUGAAAGAGAGGUAUAAUUUUAGGAACAUGACUGAGCAAAGGAAACACAUAAAAUAAAGCUAAAAACUGUAAAAGGCUAGACAAAUUUAAAAGAAACAGUGAGAAUCAAUUGGAAAGGCUACAUCUAUCAUUAGAUCUUCGGAAUUCAAAUACAUAUUCCAAACUUACACUUCAUAUAUCAGGGUCCCAAAAGAUACCUGAAAAUAAAGCAAAAUGGGGUGAGGACCUCAGCAAGAGUAGAAAUAUGAGUAAAGCAAAUAAAUUAACAACAAACUUCAGAUUGCUGAACUUUCUUUAAAUCCAGAGAAUCACAAUUCUCAUGAAAGUUCUUUUAAUUCUUAAAAAAAAAACAGAAAAGAAGAAAACCCAACCAGCAAUGCAGAAACUCUUUUUUUUUUGUAAUUUUUAAGGUAUGAAAGUCUGAUGGAUUUUUCAGGACUUAGGUGCAGAGAAUAAUGCUUAAUUCUGUCCUUGAGAGUGAAGGAAGGGCACUACAUAUAGGCCUCUAAGGCCAUGUGCUCAAAAACAGAAUUAAGGAAUUAUUCUCAGCCUGCAAAAGACAUCUUUUAACUAACUGGGACAACUGGUUGUCCCUUAUUGGCUCAGCAUAUUUGUGCUAACCAAAUAGGGACAGCUACCCCUUAUUUUGGAAGCUUCCAAAUGCAGAAAUUACUUUAAAAAGUCCCUAUUUUAUUUUCCAACUUAACCCCCUAAGUUUCAACUGUUCAAUUAACCCCCUAAGGGUUUCUAACAAUUAGCAAAUUAUGGCAAACAAGAACAAAGCAGGCAGCAUUGGAAAUUAAUAUCAAAUAACAUCAAAAAUGCAAUUAAACCUUCAGACUAAUCCUAAAUUCAUUUAACAUGAACCAAAUUAGCAAUGAAAUAGAAAUAGAAAUAACUCCAACCCAAUACUCACACGAGCCCAGAACUAACAAUGAUGAACCAUUAUCUAAGAACUACCCCAAUUGAACAUACCAACAUGCUAGGCUAAGGAAUUAUACUGAUUCAAAGUUAAACUAAUUAGACUAGAGAACGUACUGAUCAAACCCAGAAUCAUGCAACAAAAUGAAAUCUAGACUAGCAAAAUAAAAAUGCUGAUUUCACAAUUAAACUAAUUAGACGCAUACUAAACCAAAUUAACAGGACCUAACAAAACUACUAACUAAGUAUGCAUAAUCAAGAAAGAACAAAGAAACGAAAAACCUAACAACCCAGGAUUAUGGCUAACUAAACUUCUUCAUUUUUUGGUCAAAGAAAGAGAAAACAAAAAGUAAAAGAAAACAGAGUGAUGCAAAAGAGAAUAAGGUAAAGAAGAAAAGAAGGAUGAGGAAAUAGAAAGAGGAAAGAAGGAUGGAUAUACCUACCGCAUGAACGAACAGUGACUCUGGGGGACCCAGCAUUCUCCGAUUUAAAUCAAAAAUAGGUGUCAAACAACUGUUCCCAUUUAGAACAAACGAGUAACAUCCAUUUUUGGCUCAAAUCAUCUUGGAAGCUCAUAUUUAGGGUUUGCAUGUCACAAGAUUUGAAAUUGGUGAAAUUUGAGAAGGAUUCGAGGGGGUUGAUUUAGGGAUCUGGAAAGAAGAGGAGGUGAGGAGUGUUUGGUGUAAUUUUGAAGUGAUUUGGAGACCGGGCACCACCGUGAGGCGAUUUUUGGUGGCGGAAUACGGCGGAGAUGACAGAGAAUAUGAGGGCGGCUAGGGUUUACCCUCUUUGAGUUUGAGAGAUAUAGAAUGGGGGGGCGUUUGGACAAUUUUAUACUUAGGAACGGGUAGUUC
RNAcentral lists this long non-coding RNA (2032 nucleotides) under Nicotiana tabacum (common tobacco). Its description in RNAcentral is "long non-coding RNA (NTAB_LNC012312)". Lineage: Eukaryota; Viridiplantae; Streptophyta; Magnoliopsida; Solanales; Solanaceae. The record is from RNAcentral.